AGAGUUUGAUCAUGGCUCAGGGUGAACGCUGGCGGCGUGCCUAACACAUGCAAGUCGAGCGGUAACAGAGAGUAGCUUGCUACUUUGCUGACGAGCGGCGGACGGGUGAGUAAUGCUUGGGAAUAUGCCUUAUGGUGGGGGACAACAGUUGGAAACGACUGCUAAUACCGCAUAACGUCUACGGACCAAAGGGGGGGAUCUUCGGACCUCUCGCCAUUUGAUUAGCCCAAGUGAGAUUAGCUAGUUGGUGAGGUAAAGGCUCACCAAGGCGACGAUCUCUAGCUGGUUUGAGAGGAUGAUCAGCCACACUGGGACUGAGACACGGCCCAGACUCCUACGGGAGGCAGCAGUGGGGAAUAUUGCACAAUGGGCGAAAGCCUGAUGCAGCCAUGCCGCGUGUGUGAAGAAGGCCUUCGGGUUGUAAAGCACUUUCAGUUGUGAGGAAAGGAGUGUAGUUAAUAGCUGCAUUCUGUGACGUUAACAACAGAAGAAGCACCGGCUAACUUCGUGCCAGCAGCCGCGGUAAUACGGAGGGUGCGAGCGUUAUUCGGAAUCACUGGGCGUAAAGCGCGCGUAGGCGGCUGAUCGAGUCAGGUGUGAAAUCCCACGGCUCAACCGUGGAAUAGCACUUGAUACUGGUUGGCUAGAGUCUGGCAGAGGGUGGCGGAAUUCCCGGUGUAGGGGUGAAAUCCGUAGAUAUCGGGAGGAACACCAGAGGCGAAGGCGGCCACCUGGGCCAAGACUGACGCUGAGGUGCGAAAGCGUGGGGAGCGAACAGGAUUAGAUA
Molecule: ribosomal RNA, 787 nt
Filed under: uncultured bacterium
Lineage: Bacteria
Description: bacterial SSU rRNA
Rfam family: Bacterial small subunit ribosomal RNA
Source: RNAcentral